This 440-nucleotide ribosomal RNA is filed under the name uncultured bacterium. Its description in RNAcentral is "partial 16S ribosomal RNA". It matches the Rfam family "Bacterial small subunit ribosomal RNA", at positions 338 to 795 of the family's 1533-position model. The record is from RNAcentral.
CCUACGGGAGGCAGCAGUGGGGAAUAUUGCACAAUGGGGGAAACCCUGAAGCAGCGACGUCGCGUGAGUGAUGACGUACCUCGGUGUUUAAAGCUCUAUCAGCAGGGAGGAAAAUGACGGUACGUGACUAAUAAGCCACGGCUAACUACGUGCCAGCAGCCGCGGUAAUACGUAGGGGGCCAGCGUUAUCCGGAUUUACUGGGUGUUAAGGGAGCGUAGACGGCAAGACAAGUCAGCAGUGAAAGCCCAGGGCUCAACCCUGGGACUGCUUUUGAAACUGCCGGGCUGGAGUGCAGGAGAGGUAUGCGGAAUUCGUGGUGUAGCGGUGAAAUGCGUAGAUAUUAGGAGGAACACCAGUGGCGAAGGCGGCUUACUGGACUGUAACUGACGUUGAGGCUCGAAAGCGUGGGGAGCAAACAGGAUUAGAUACCCCAGUAGUC